UGGCUCAGUUGGCAGAGCAUGGUGUUUGCAACACCAGGGUUGUGGGUUUGAUUCCCAC
Salmo salar (Atlantic salmon) is the source of this 58-nucleotide non-coding RNA. The record is from Rfam. Lineage: Eukaryota; Metazoa; Chordata; Actinopteri; Salmoniformes; Salmonidae.